RNAcentral lists this ribosomal RNA (583 nucleotides) under Dacrymycetes sp. 7 ST-2014. Its description in RNAcentral is "eukaryotic LSU rRNA". It matches the Rfam family "Eukaryotic large subunit ribosomal RNA", at positions 52 to 655 of the family's 3401-position model. Lineage: Eukaryota; Fungi; Basidiomycota; Dacrymycetes. The record is from RNAcentral.
GGAGGAAAAGAAACUAACAAGGAUUCCCCUAGUAACUGCGAGUGAAGCGGGAUGAGCUCAAAUUUAAAAUCUGGCGUCUCUGGCGUCCGAGUUGUAACCUAGAGAAGCGUUUUCAGCCGCCGGCCGUGGACAAGUCCCUUGGAACAGGGCGUCAUAGAGGGUGAGAAUCCCGUCCUUGCCACGACACCGUGUGUCUAUGUGAUACGCUCUCGAAGAGUCGAGUUGUUUGGGAAUGCAGCUCAAAAUGGGAGGUAUGUUCCUUCUAAAGCUAAAUAUUGGCGAGAGACCGAUAGCGAACAAGUACCGUGAGGGAAAGAUGAAAAGCACUUUGGAAAGAGAGUUAAACAGUACGUGAAAUUGCUAAAAGGGAAGCGCUUGAAGUCAGUCGCGUCUUUGGGGAUUCAGCCUUGACCGGUGCAUUUCCUCUUCGACGGGCCAACAUCGAUUUCCGCCGCGGGAAAAGGGCGCGAGGAAUGUGGCAGCCUCGGCUGUGUUAUAGCCUUGCGUCGUACGCCGUGGUGGGGAUCGAGGACCGCAGCUUCGGCUUAGGAUGUUGGCGUAAUGGCUUUAAGCGACCCGUCUU